Molecule: long non-coding RNA, 1036 nt
Filed under: Rattus norvegicus (Norway rat)
Lineage: Eukaryota; Metazoa; Chordata; Mammalia; Rodentia; Muridae
Description: long non-coding RNA NONRATT015656
Source: RNAcentral
GGAGCCGCCGCUCGUCCCUCACGGACGACGCGCGCCGCUGCUCCUGCCCGGGGCUGUCUGCCGGCUUCCAGCCCUUGCGGGUGUCGAGGUGGCUGGCGAAGGCACCCUUCCCGCUUCCUUCUGCUCAUUUCCCAGUUGGCUCCUGGCUUCUCUCAUGGCCGGUUCUGAGGCCGCCUAGGUCCGGCGUCUGUGACUGCGCCCUGCGGGCGCUGGGCUGCCGGCUGCCUUCGGGGCUGGGCCGGCCGCCGCGGUCUCCAUGGUAACGGCCCCGCCGGCGGCCGGGCCUCUGGGGGAAGAUGCGGCCUGCCCAGCCCGCCGCCUCGCCCCCGGCCUCUCGGUCCGGCGGGGGUCACUGAGGAGCGGGGGCCCGGCCGCCAGCCUGCCUGGCAGCGGGCACCAGUGAGAUCUCACUCUCUGGCUGGAGAGACAGAUGGCCUCAAAUGAGAGAGAUGCUAUAUCAUGGUAUCAGAAGAAGAUUGGAGCAUAUGAUCAGCAGAUAUGGGAAAAGUCAAUCGAACAGACUCAGAUUAAGGGUUUCAAAAACAAACCAAAAAAAAUGGGCCAUAUAAAACCAGACUUGAUUGAUGUUGACUUAAUCAGAGGCUCAACAUUUGCCAAAGCCAAGCCUGAGAUUCCAUGGACGUCGCUCACUCGGAAGGGCCUUGUUCGAGUGGUGUUUUUCCCAUUAUUCAGCAGUUGGUGGAUUCAGGUUACCUCUCUCAGAAUCUUUGUUUGGUUGCUGCUACUGUACCUCAUGCAAGUUACAGCGAUCGUUUUAUAUCUCAUGAUGCCUAUUGUGAGCGUGAGUGAAGUGCUUGGACCAUUGUGCCUUAUGCUACUCAUGGGAACUGUCCACUGUCAGAUCGUGUCAACUCAGAUAACAAGGCCCUCAGGAAACAAUGGAAAUCGGAGAAGAAGAAAAUUACGAAAAACUGUAAAUGGUGAUGGGACCCGAGAUAAUGGAAAUAACUCCCCUGAUAAAAUCAGAGCAGUAGAAACUCUGGACUCUGCACCCAGUGUUGGUGGUUUUUGGGGG